GUUGAAAGUGGAGGGGAGUCAGGACCUGCGCCAGGGGACCGGGGUACGGUGCUGAGGCGUACAACAUGCGCGUGCCUGCACACCGGUUUUCGGCUUCCCUAGUGAUGGGCCCGAUCUCUCGGGACGAAGGCUGCUGUGAGUGUCAUUCUUCAUAAGAAUAACGGUAUGCUUCAUUAGCGCCUAAUCACCCCUUAGGGACGAGGAACUAACUUCAGAGUCAAAUGAGCUUUACUACUUUUCCAUAGUAGAAUUUAGUCGAUAGUGAAUUAGUAUAUCCAUGGGAUGAACCAUUGGUCUUUUUUUGUAUGGAACACCCGUUACAUGGAACUCGCAUCUGGAUCCAACGCACGUGCGCGUAAAUCACGAUGAAUGCACUUAUUAUCAGUGGUCCACUACGAAAUGCUAAAAGUAGCGAAACUGGCGUAUAGAGAAUAAAUAGUACCUAUUUUGUAUUGUAUUCAAUGCUGUGUGCUACCUGUGAAUCUGAGGGUAAAUUAGAAUAGGGAACACAAACGACUGAUACCUGAGCCAAAGCGACACAUUCCAGCUGCUUGUAAGCUUCGACCAUUUGUGCCUGAAUUCUUUGAAAUAACACAAGACGGAAAUAAAAUAAUUCCAGAGAAGAUGAUGGAAAUUUGCAAAAAAAGAUUUUUUUAAUG
Osmia lignaria (orchard mason bee) is the source of this 659-nucleotide long non-coding RNA. RefSeq lists it as uncharacterized. The record is from RefSeq and is a predicted model, not a curated record. NCBI's taxonomy places the organism in Eukaryota, Metazoa, Arthropoda, Insecta, Hymenoptera, Megachilidae.